This is a long non-coding RNA of Musa acuminata AAA Group (dessert banana), 2054 nucleotides long. RefSeq lists it as uncharacterized. The transcript is spliced from 2 exons. Lineage: Eukaryota; Viridiplantae; Streptophyta; Magnoliopsida; Zingiberales; Musaceae. The record is from RefSeq and is a predicted model, not a curated record.
CACUUUCCCCUCGUCCGCCCCUUCUGCCUUCCACUUCCCCCUUUAGAUUGGUAGUACUUGAAACCCUGAUUCCCUGCCAUAUUCACCCGUCUUGACUUGUCAAAAUUGAAUCUUUACUGCUCUUUGCCGGUAAAAAUCGAAUCUUUAGUAUACCUCCUUUUUGAUAGACUGUUUUUGUGCCCUUCCGACUAUAUUAUUCUAUCUGCAAGAAUGAUCGUGAGGGCUAGAAAUAUUUUAGGUCCAUUUACUUUAAUGAUGUUAGUUUUAUCAAUAAAAAUAUGAAAAUAAAAAGAUAAAAUAAUAAAUUUAAUAUUCCGAUGGUGACAGAUGUCGUCGAAGGUGACGAAUAGGGUGAGGACGAGGGGGAGAGGAGGUGGAUGGUGGAGAGGCGACCGUGAGGGCUCUGGUUGAUGAUGACAGAAGGAGGGGUGAGCGCGAGGGGGAGAGAAGGUGGAUCGGGCGGAGGCGAUUAUGAGGGAUAUGGCCAACGACGAUAGCAGUGGCAACAAUAGGGGUGAGCACGAGGGGGAGAGGAGGCAACGACCAGGGCUCUCACGAUCGCCUCCGCCUUAUCCACCUCCUUGAGGGGUGACCACGAGGGGGAGAGGAGGUGGACGGGGUGGAGGUGAUCGUGAGGGCUUUGGCUGGCGACGAUAGCGGCAACAGUGAGAGAGGUGAGCAUGAGGGGGAGAGGAGGCAACGACUAGAGCCCUCACGGUCGCCUUUGCCCCGUCCACCUCCCUGACAUCCCCCACGCUUAUCUCCGUCGCUCUUUACUAGGUUAAGUAGUGGCGACAAUGAGGUGAGCACGAGGGGGAAGAGCAAGGCGGAGGCAUUGCUGUAAAGGGUUGCAACAACGUGCUAGGCGGCAAUGGGGGAGAGGAGGCGGAGGGCGACGACGAAGGCGUGAGGGGGAAAAGGCCGCUCCACAACUAUAUCGGCGUCAGCUCCAGCAUCAUCAUCGUCUAGCACCGUCGGAAUGUUAAAUUUAUUUACCUUUUUGUCUCUUGUUUUCGUAUUUUUGUUGAUAAAAGCUGAUGUCGUUAAGGUAAAUGGACCUAGAUGUUUUACCUUCGUAACUAUAAGGAUGUCAAUAUAACUUUUUAAAGUAUAAAGACAAAGAUACUAAAAGUGACUAACUAGAGGGUCUUGCGUGUUAGGGCUUCCUCCGAGCCAUGAUAAUUGACCAAGGUAAAGCCCUAGUGGAAGCUGUAGCCCAAAUGUUCUCAUGCUUCUCUCAUCGUUAAUGCCUCUGACAGAUUAUGAAGAGGAUUCAAUCUAUGGCAUGCUUCUUCCUGAUUACUUGAAUAAAAUAACUGGUCAAUUAUAAGCACUUGGCUACUGAAGGUGAGGAUUUGUAUGAGAUGCUAGAUCUUAAUGUCCUUGUAUGACUUUUUCCUGAAUGAGAGGACGUUUUAGCUCUAUAUGAUUUUACCAAGUUCUCUUUUUAGCAGACUGCAGUUAUCGGGAUGCUUACAAUUUUGACAAUGGAUCACCAACCAGCAUUGCCCUGUGUUCACGAAUGUAUCCAAUCUUGUAGCGAAUCUGUUAGCUGUUUUCAGAGCAUUCAAAUAUUAACGGCGGCAUUGAUCGGCAUUGAUCCACCAGACAAUCUUGGAAAUGGCAAUGCCUGGAGAGGCCAAUUUGACGAGGUCUCAUUUACAUUCUUGCAUCACAGAAAUGUCAGUCCAGUAUCAAUAAGUGAUGAUAUCAUUCCAAUUAACUAAGGUUACUCUUGCAACUGUGACCGUUUUCAAGUCACAAAAACAACACAUUGAUUUAUAUCGAAGUCUCAUGCAAUGAAUCAAUCUUCAUCCUUGGAUGCGAACAGUUGGGCUUUUUGCAGUCACUUUUGGAGAGGUUUCAGAUAUCCUUCUCAUACAGGUGAUCCUUAUCACAAUCUUGUUUUUGUUACGAUGCAAACCAUAUGUUGUAAUCUUAGAAAAAAUGACCAAAAUUGAAUAAAUAUAUCAUAUUUGUAGCCAAGAACCUUUGUCUACAAUGUUUGAUAGAAUUGUUAUUUUUAAUAAAAUAUGUUUAUAUCUUUUUCUACA